AGCCCCGUCGUCUAGCGGUCAAGGAUGACAGCCUCUGGAGCUGUAGACAGCAGUUCGAAUCUGCUCGGGGCUA
Molecule: non-coding RNA, 73 nt
Organism: Candidatus Micrarchaeota archaeon CG1_02_55_41
Lineage: Archaea; Nanobdellati; Microcaldota
Source: Rfam